GAUGAACGCUGGCGGCGUGCCUAAUACAUGCAAGUCGAGCGGACAGACGCUGAGCUUGCUCCUCGCACGUUUGCCGCGGACGGGUGAGUAACACGUGGAUACCCUCCCUAUAAGACUGGGAUCACUUCGGGAAACCGGAGCUAAUCCCGGAUAAUAUCUUGAACCGCAUGGUUCAAUGGUAAAAGACGGCUUUUGUGUCACUUCUCGCGGCAUCUGCGCUGGAUGAGCUAGUUGGUAAGGUAACGGCUUACCACGGCUACGAUGCGUAGCCGACCGGAGGGGGUGAUAGGCCACCCGGGAACUGAGACGCGGACCAGACUCCUACGGGAGGCAGCAGUAGGGAAUCUGCCGCAAUGGGCGAAAGCUUGACGGAGCAACGCGGCGUGAGUGAUGGAGGUCUUCGGAUCGUAAAACUGUGUUAUGAGGGAAGAACAAAUGUGUAAGUAACUAUGCACGUCUUGACGGUACCUGAUCAGAAAGCAACGGCUAACUACGUG
RNAcentral lists this ribosomal RNA (497 nucleotides) under uncultured bacterium. RNAcentral's name for it is "partial 16S ribosomal RNA". It matches the Rfam family "Bacterial small subunit ribosomal RNA", at positions 28 to 507 of the family's 1533-position model. The record is from RNAcentral.